Molecule: non-coding RNA, 30 nt
Filed under: Mus musculus (house mouse)
Lineage: Eukaryota; Metazoa; Chordata; Mammalia; Rodentia; Muridae
Source: RNAcentral
UAAUGCCAUCUGGGCAUUGAGUGCUUUGGC